UGACCGACAAUGUCGACUAGCCUUAGUUGGUGUCCUUGAGAUCGUAUGAGCUGUGCGCGAAGCUAACGCGAUAAGUCGACCGCCUGGGGAGUACGGCCGCAAGGUUAAAACUAGCCAAAUGAAUUGAGCGGGGGCCCGCACAAGCGGUGGAGCAUGACUGGUUUAAUUCGAUGAUCAGCAACGCGAAGAACCUUACCUGGCCUUGACAUGCACAGAACUUUCCAGAGAUGGAUUGGUGCCUUCGGGCGAAACUCUGACACAGCCGUGCUGCAUGGCUGUCGUCAGCCUUCGUGUCGUGAGAUGCUUUGGGUUGGGAAGUCCCGUAACGAGCGCAACCCUUGUCGCUUAGUUACCAGCACCUCGGGUGGGCACUCUAAGGAGACUGCCGGUGACAAACCGGAGGAAGGUGGGGAUGACGUCAAGUCAUCAUGGCCCUUACGGCCAGGGCGUACACACGUGCUACAAUGGUCUGUACAAAGGGUUGCCAAGCCGCGAGGUGGAGCUACAUCCCAUAAAACCGAUCUGUAGUCCGGAUCGCAGUCGUGCAACUCGACUGCGUGAAGUCGGAAUCGCUAGUAAUCGUGAAUCAGAAUGUCAGCGGUGAAUACGAUUCCCGGGCCUUGUACUGACACCGCCGCGUCACACCAUGGGGAGUGGGUUGCUCCAGAAGUACUGCUAGUCUACACCGUAAGCGAGGACGGUUAGCCACUGAGUGAUUCAUGACUGGGGUGAAGUCGCUAACAGGGAAACCCGACUAAAAAGGGGAGGCGGCCACACGG
Molecule: ribosomal RNA, 779 nt
Filed under: Metapseudomonas otitidis
Lineage: Bacteria; Pseudomonadati; Pseudomonadota; Gammaproteobacteria; Pseudomonadales; Pseudomonadaceae
Description: bacterial SSU rRNA
Rfam family: Bacterial small subunit ribosomal RNA
Source: RNAcentral